Molecule: RNA transcript, 1045 nt
Organism: Pipistrellus kuhlii (Kuhl's pipistrelle)
Lineage: Eukaryota; Metazoa; Chordata; Mammalia; Chiroptera; Vespertilionidae
Gene: POLR2D
Gene name: RNA polymerase II subunit D
Exons: 5
Source: RefSeq, a predicted model, not a curated record
CUUCCGCUGUGGGCGGGGCCCGCGCUCCCACUUCCGGCGGAGGCAGACCGGUGUGCGAUGGCGGCGGGCGGCAGCGACCCGAGGGCAGGCGACGUGGAGGAGGACGCCUCGCAGCUCAUCUUCCCCAAAGAGUUUGAGACAGCUGAGACACUUCUAAAUUCAGAAGUCCACAUGCUCCUGGAGCAUCGAAAGCAGCAGAACGAGAGUGCGGAGGACGAACAGGAACUUUCUGAGGUCUUCAUGAAAACGUUAAACUACACAGCUCGUUUCAGUCGUUUCAAAAACAGAGAGACCAUUGCCAGUGUCCGAAGCUUGUUGCUCCAGAAGAAGCUUCAUAAGUUUGAGUUGGCCUGUUUGGCCAACCUUUGUCCAGAGACUGCUGAGGAGUCCAAGGCUCUCAUUCCAAGCCUGGAGGGGCGAUUUGAAGACGAGGAGCUGCAGCAGAUCCUCGAUGACAUCCAGACCAAGCGCAGCUUCCAGUACUAAUCUCCAGCACCGUGCUGCCGAGCGAGCCCCCGCGGCACGUCUCCAGGACCUGAAACUCCCGGAUGGCACGGGACACGGGACAGCAGCACUGCUCGGGCUUGGUUUGGGUUGCUGUUUCAGACUUGGCUGUUAGAUCAUGACGACCAGGGAGUCUUGGAGAGACCUUGCUGUGCUGCUUGCUGGCUGCCUGAGCUCCCCCUGGAGAGGAUUCACUUGUUGGUAGGUAUGUAUUUGAUGAACAAGGCUGUCUCCCGGCAAAAACAAAGCUGAUCCUCACAGCCAGUUGGUCUGACGGUCAACUCCUCCCAGUGAUACCAACAACAAUCGACUUAACUACAGAUUUUCGGUCCCGGCGGCGCCCACACGGCUGCUCCCCGAGAAUCCACUCCACUCCCCGAAACCAUAACGGAACAGACCAUCUCCUUCGCCAAGGACUUCCUGACCGGGGGCGUCGCCGCCACCAUCUCCGAGAUGGUGGCCCCAAUCGAGAGGGUCGAGCUGCUGCUGCAGGUGCAGCAUGCCAGCCAGCAGACCACGGCGGACAAGCAGGACAAGGGCA